GUCUAUGGCUACACCAUCCUGAACGUGUCCGAUCUCAUCUGAUCUCGGAAGCUAAGCAGGUUCGGGCAUGGUUAGUACUUGGAUGGGAGACCAUACUCUUAAGUGAAAUAAACU
Molecule: ribosomal RNA, 114 nt
Filed under: Chinchilla lanigera (long-tailed chinchilla)
Lineage: Eukaryota; Metazoa; Chordata; Mammalia; Rodentia; Chinchillidae
Source: RNAcentral